Mytilus trossulus (common blue mussel) is the source of this 2031-nucleotide long non-coding RNA. RefSeq lists it as uncharacterized. The record is from RefSeq and is a predicted model, not a curated record. The transcript has 3 exons. NCBI's taxonomy places the organism in Eukaryota, Metazoa, Mollusca, Bivalvia, Mytilida, Mytilidae.
GAUUUGCACGAGAUAAGCUGGUCAAUUCCCCGCGAAAUCGAACAACAUAAUCACUGUUACAUAGGAUACAAAGGGAACAGACGUACGAAGUCGGAAACUCUAUUUAUUUUAUAAAACAAGGAACGUAGGAAGUCUUUGUAAAACAAAGUAGGAUUGUUUAGAAGAACAUUUUCAGCUUCAUGCAAAUGUAGAUUGAAGGAAACUCUUGAUCAAACUUUAGCAGCAGAAAGAAAAGGAAAUUCCAUUAAGUUUCAGGAAAUACUUUCAAGGCUAUGCUUGCUGCUUGUUUACCUUUGACAAACUGACCCAGAAAUAAUCCUUGUGAAAUAAGGUUGAUCUUGAAGUUGUGUAUACUACUAAAACAUUAGUCAUGCUUUAGUGGUUCCAUUUUUAUGAAUAGAAAAAAUUUCCAAACUAUUAUUGAUCAGGUUACUGUCUUAAAAUACAGAAAAGACGAAAGCAGUGUAAAAUGAACGAAAGACCUGCAGCCCGUUUGCUUUGCAAUCUUUUCCGCCCUCCAACAGGCAACCUGUUUCAACCAUAUCGUGUUCAUAACAACAAGAUGGCGACUGUUCGACGAUUGUUUUCUUCAGAGAUAGUCUUGUCAGCUUUAGGAAAUAUUUUUAACAACACAACUUAUAAGGAUCGCCAUUCAUAGAGGAUAAGCCCUUUGGCCAUGUUAUUACAUAGGACAUCUACAUCGUCCCAAGACCGACAGGUUAUAAACUCUGUUUGAAUAAAAAGACCAUCAAUAUCUUCCAUCUCAAAAAUGCACAGUAAAGAGUGUCAACUUCAAAGAUCUUAUUUUAUCCCAUUAUAAAAAUUGGUGUAAAUGGGAAAAAUCCGACAAAAAGUCUCUGGAUUCGUAGUGAAAUAAAUUUAUUUUGGAUAUUCGUAUAUCUUAUUUUUGAUAAUAACAGGGUAGGAAUUGCGCCCAUUUUAAGGAAUUGAAAAAAAUAAUAAUAACUAGCAAAGCGUUUGUAUUCAUAUCAGCAGACACAGUAGCCAUAUUUGUGGUAGUGAUAUGAUGCAAUGUAUACCAUACGUGGAAGUUCUUGAGAAUGAAAACAUACAUGUAGAAGGCCGUACGCUACAGAGUAAAUUGUUAUCACACUUCGUUUUAAGGCUUGAACUGAAAAUGUGAAGGUCCCUUCUAUGUAUGAGCUUCUAAAACAGUACAAAAACCUUUUGAGAUUUCGUUUCAACAUACUCAGUUUCUAGUGUGUGUUUUACAACUAAAUCUAUUCUUUGAGAGUUUUGUUGGUGUCGUGGAUAAAUUGCGUGCAUUUGGUGACACAUUCCGUGAACUGGCCGACAUUUUCUGAUUUUCAAGUCUCUACAUGUACACUACACUUCAAUACAACAGUAUCUUAUCAAGGAAUUCAAUGGUCCUUUGAUAAAUAUGAAUGUAGAUUUAUUUGCUGCAACUCUUAUGGAGCUGCAAAUUUAAUCGACGUCUGGUCGUCUGGCAAGGAAGUGAAUAAAAUGCGCCUGUAACAUAUAGCAGACAUGUUCCUGUAUUGUUAUGAAUCACAAUUUAUGACCAAACUAUGAAUAGAACCAUCUAAACAGCAAUGAUUGAUAAAAUUCAAUUUAUAAACACUUGCCGAUACUGUGAUAAUAUAUGAUCAUAACUGCAGCAAAUAAGACCAAGGAACGAAACUAUUUUAAAUAAAUCUUACACCGACACCAGUUUUGUGCAUAUAAUUUUUAUGUCGUUGAUAAGGCCCGUUCAUUUAGACACGAGCUGUGUAAACUUUUUUCUCGGCUAAAUUACGUAAAAAUGUGUAACUGCAGUUGCCCUAUGCUAUUUAUAAAUUCGAUUCUUCUAAAGCUUGAGGUAAAUAUUAUUACUUAAAUCACUUCUUGUGGUCUUCACAUGUAUAAUAAUCAUAUUGCUUUAAAACUUUCGAAUUUAAAAAAAAAAUCUUCUGAUUAGUAAAUUGCUUUAAGAUUUCAUCCAAGUUAUUGGUAUUAAAGAGUUAAUGACAAUAUGGUGAAGGUUAAUUGGGAAAACAUCGUUGGAAGAGU